This 305-nucleotide ribosomal RNA is filed under the name uncultured bacterium. RNAcentral's name for it is "bacterial SSU rRNA". It matches the Rfam family "Bacterial small subunit ribosomal RNA", at positions 335 to 632 of the family's 1533-position model. The record is from RNAcentral.
GUGCCUACGGGAGGCAGCAGUGGGGAAUAUUGCGCAAUGGGCGAAAGCCUGACGCAGCGACGCCGCGUGAGGGAUGAAGGUCUUCGGAUCGUAAACCUCUGUCAGCAGGGAAGAACGGUCACUGUGCUAAUCAGCAGUGAAUUGACGGUACCUGCAAAGGAAGCACCGGCUAACUCCGUGCCAGCAGCCGCGGUAAUACGGAGGGUGCGCGCGUUAAUCGUAAUUACUGGGCGUAAAGCGCUCGUAGGCGGUAUGUCAAGUCAAGGGUGAAAUCCCCGCGUUCACCGUGGGACCUGCUUUUGAAA